Long non-coding RNA from Esox lucius (northern pike), 1991 nucleotides. NCBI's taxonomy places the organism in Eukaryota, Metazoa, Chordata, Actinopteri, Esociformes, Esocidae. The record is from Ensembl.
GAUUCACUCAUUGAAGUUCCAUGUAUUCAAUACGUAGACAUCUGCUUCUAAGUUUGUAAAUUUAUUUCUAAUCCUCAACAGACUGCCCUAUCGUUGAAAUUACAGGGUAGCAAAAUCAUGUGGGAAUCUACUGUGAUUUUGAAACAAUUCUUAUUAUUGUGUAUAAAUAGUAUGUAACCACCGAUGAAAACACGGUGAAAGCAGCACACCAUUAGUUUUUGUGCCAGUCUCUUUAUCUUAUUUUAUAGUCCCUAGUACUGGCAAGGAUUGCAGUCUUUGCUAGAGACUGGUACUCAGACCAGUAUAAUGCUCCCAUUUAGAUGGGCUGCCCGCACCAUUUUGUGGCUACCGUUUUGCAACUGCAAGGAACAUUUCAGUUUUAAAGUUUGUGGGGGGAGGUCUACGGAUUUUGAUUUAGCCAUGGAGAAAAUAUUUGCAGUUGUAAGGCCUUUUUUGUGCUGUUUGAUGACUAAUAUCCUGCCAGCAUUUCCCAAACGAUGUGUUGCGAUCCUGAUGUAAACAUGAAGCCACAGAAGAAACUAUAGGAAUAAAUUGUGUUUGGUGCAUCGAACCAGGAUUACACAAGUAAAUGUGGUUGUAAACAAAGUGGUUUCUGUAAAUUUUCUGCACAAAUGGCUAUAACAUUUUAAUAUGUUAAGCUUCAAAAUUACUACAUUUCUUAGGAACAAGUUUGUUUCAUUCAGAACUCCUUAGUGCUGUUAACACGCAGUAAAUCGGGCAGCGGGAAGAAAGAACAUUAACAAUUAUGUUAUUUUCUUUUAACUAAACCACAAAUAUUUUUCUUGGUGAUAAUCCUGAUGUUUUCCUGAGUUUCUAAAGCUUUCAAACCAUACCUCCUUUAGAGUAAAGUAUUACAUUUCGACAGACUAACGGGUCUUCAACAAUGUUUAAGAUGGUAAACAUUGGUCAGAAAAUACAUAAUUUGUUUUGGUUGAUGGGUCACAAAAAUAUUUGUAUAAGGGAAAAGACUUUGGGAGACCCUCUGACUUCUGCUUUGUUUAUUUGAUAUCUACAUUGAAUUACUUUUCAAUGCAGACACGGGGCCUCCAGGAGUUCAAGGCAGCUGUGUAGCGUACAUGCCCUUUGUGUCUGUUCGGUCACCUGUAAUUAAUACCAGUUUACACAUUGGACUACUAGCUAGCAGUCCAAACAUUGACAUGAUUCAUUAUCAGAAAAUGGCUUGACUGACAUUGAGUAGCAAGAGAAAACUAUUAAGUCACAACCACAUGUAUCAGAAUUGUGCCAGGUGUAUUAUACUAUUCCUACUGUCAGUAGUAAAUUGAGACUUUGACAUUUAUUUUGAUGUAUUUUUGUGCGGGACUGGGGCCUAUCUUUGUUGGAUAAAAUAAGUUCCAAGUAGUGCCAAACUUCUAGUACACUUCUGGUAACAAGCAAAUAUGAAUUUGCAGCAAAAAUAUAAUUAAGUGGUUCAGCGGUUAGGGAGUCAAGCUUGUAAUCAGAAAGUUCCCAGUUUGAAUCUCGACUGGGCCAAUUAUCUUUGUGUCCCUAUGCCUAUGUUGCUCUGGGGAAGAAUGUCCCUGUACUUACAGUAAAUCACUUUGGAUAAAAAUGUCUGCUAAAUGAUGGAGACAUAUUUGUUUUUCACAAAGUUAGCCAGAGGUCCAGUAGAAGUUUGCCACAAACCUAAUUUGCAUAAGAAAAUAUGUCCUCGCUGCAGCUAUGUCCUCCAUUUGCAGCAACAAUGCCAAAGGUUAACCACAACUGUCUGCCAGAAACCUAAUAUUUUUGGGGCCCCCCUUGGGGUCCCCCUUGUGUCAUCACCCCCAUCAUUACCCUAUUCAACUGGUGAAAAACGACUUAUCAAAUGUGUUUGUACUGGUGAUGACACCAAUACAAACAUUUGAAUUGGUUUUAUUUGCUUUGUUUUUAGGUUUGUUUCUACUCAAGUUCAAUCUUUGCCCCACCCCUAUAUAUUAAAAUAUAAUUCAGAUGAAAUUGUUGCUACGGGG